Sphaeramia orbicularis (orbiculate cardinalfish) is the source of this 933-nucleotide long non-coding RNA. RefSeq lists it as uncharacterized. Lineage: Eukaryota; Metazoa; Chordata; Actinopteri; Kurtiformes; Apogonidae. The record is from RefSeq and is a predicted model, not a curated record. The transcript has 3 exons.
GGUCAAGCUCACUGUCAGGUUCCCUGCCGUCCUAUCAGAACACACAGUGGGCGGGAUCUAGCAGGGGAGGAAGGGUCAGGCACGCGGACCCACACAGGCGGAAACAGGGUUGGAGAAACUGAGGCGGAUUUUCUGCAAGAGAUCAUUAAGGAGUUAAGGACAACGUGGGAGUUGUCUGAUAGCGGCUCCAGAUAUCAGACAGCCGGAGGUUCCUCAGGUUAGCUACAGGAGCUGUGGAAGAUGGGAAGACUGACCCAGAGUUCCAGCUGUGGACUGGAGCACUGACUGUUCUACUACCCUUUGUCCAACACUAAUGAACUGACCGAUGACCACUUCAGUGUCAGCGAACGAGGCCUGGGUUUACGUCUCAGCUCCUGAUCCGCCGGUUUCAGACUCAGAAACACACUUGUCCUUUCAGUGGGUAUUGAUUGAACUGUCCAAACCAGCCGAGCAGCACAAAGUGAGUCCAGUCUGACUUUAACAGACCAGGACAUGUGGUUUUACCGAGCACGGACGUCCAUUAAACCCAGGAAUCAGCACCGGCACCUUCAAACCCAGUCCAGUAUGAUGUCACAUGACGGAUCCGACAUGUGCAACAACACCAGCACAGUCCAACGACUGGGGUCAAAUCCACAAUCAAACCUUCACGGAGAACCUUCCAAACUAGUAACGAUGCAUUUACAGCCUGAGUUAAACUGUAAAACAGAGGUGUCAAACAUAUGGCUCAUGGGCCAAAAGGGGCCACCAAAGGGUCCAAUCAGGUUCAACGGAUGGAUUUUUGAAAUGGAAAAAUUACACUGAAAAUAUUAACAGUCAGAUGUGUCAGGAUUAUCUUGGUUGUGUAUUUGUAUUUGAUCUGUAUGUUGUAACGCACAUCGUAUUGUUGAAAUUACACUUAUUUUUCCUUAAGAAAUUUCAGUCUUUUUAGGUUAU